UGAUGGGGUACCCCAUCACCGCCGAAAACUAUGUGACGGAUCUAUAACCAGCCUGAAGGUGGUUUUGGAGCCGGCAAUGAUGUUGGUCUGUGGAGUAGUGUUGGUUGCCUUUCCCUGGAUCACCUGGUCAGUGCAUGCGGAUCUUCCAAAUCUCUCAUGAUUGACGUCUCUGAUAUGUGUAGUAGUUUUCUUAUGACUCAUUAUUGGAGAUGUGAUGCCCAUAAUCCCGUCUCAUUGGAGUAUUUUCUAAAACCCACGGCUCUCACGUGUAUGCACCCAUCAACCCUCUCACAUGCAUGCAUCAAUCAUAUAUCACAG
Molecule: long non-coding RNA, 318 nt
Filed under: Setaria italica (foxtail millet)
Lineage: Eukaryota; Viridiplantae; Streptophyta; Magnoliopsida; Poales; Poaceae
Description: long non-coding RNA (SITA_LNC002548)
Source: RNAcentral